RNAcentral lists this long non-coding RNA (1373 nucleotides) under Panax ginseng (ginseng). RNAcentral describes it as "long non-coding RNA (PGIN_LNC012479)". The record is from RNAcentral. Lineage: Eukaryota; Viridiplantae; Streptophyta; Magnoliopsida; Apiales; Araliaceae.
CCAAGUCUAUCUAAACUAAAAUCCUUUUCAGUUCCUAUCUCAGCCUCCUCUCGCCUCUCCCAGUCUCUCGCCCCUCUCAUCUCUCAUCCCAAAUCCCAAAUCCCAAAUCCCUUAGCCUCUCGCCUCUCGCCUCUCGCCUCUCGCCUCUUCGCCUCUCUCUUCUCUCCGCCUCUCUCGCCUCUCCGCCUCUUUCAUCUCAGUCGUUGAACGGGCUCUUUCAUCUCAGCCGCUGAACGGGAAGCACUCUAGAUCUGAUCCAGUUCUGGAAGAACUCUUAGAUCUGAUCCAGUUCAAUUUCUUGUUUUCGUUGUGUUUUUUUUUAUCUGAUCCAGUUCUAUGAUUUCGUUGUGGUGUUUUGAAAUUGAAUUGCCAUUAAUAAUUUGGUUUGGUUUGGUUUGGUUGGUUGUUCCGUUUUAGAUCAGAAUCUGUGUACGGGAAAUUGAAAGAUUAUAUCUGUGGCUUUGUUUUUUCUAAUCUAUGUUAAAUCUGUGGCUUUGUUUUUUCUUUUUCUGGUAAUGAUAUUUUUAUGCUGAUAAUAUGUUGUAUAUAUUAUAUUAUUUUCAUUUCGGUUAUUAACCGAAUAAUAAAUUCGGUAAUUCGGUUAUCUACUAUUUCGGUUAUCAGUUCGGAUAUUAGAAAUGUGUUAUUUUCGGUUUUCGGUUAUAACCGAAUAAGCUAUUCGGUUCGGUUAUAACCGAAUGCUCACCCUAGAACACAGUCUCUGAUCUCUAACAUUACUGCGUAACAAAAUUACUGUGUUUUAUUAAUUAUUUUAUCGGUCCAAACUCCAAACUCACUUCUCUAAAAACUAACGGAUGAUUCAUUGUCAAUUCAUAAACUCCGACGAGAAGAAAUUUCCGGCGAUAUGCGAGAUAUUUAGCCACCGAUUACAUGGUCUCAGCAUUUUCUGCCCAACUAGUUUUCUCUGGCUCUAUUCGUGCUUUCCAGGUCGCUCCUUCUUCUUCUAGGUAUUUAUUUAACCAGCUAUUAGUUGGAGCUGCUACUUAUUUUAAUUCUACUCUUUUAAGCAUUAUGUAGAACAAAAACAACAAUCUCAAUUAUGCCUUAAAAAAUGUGAAUAGAGAAUAAUUUUAUAACUUUAUAUGAUGUGCUAAUAAAAGAAAUUAAGCUUAUUUCUAGAUGAAGAACACUUUAUAUGAUGUGCUUUUUUGAGAUUAGAGUCGAAAAAAUUUGGGGAAUUUUCAAAAAUAAUUUUCAGAUAGGGACUGAUAAAAGUUUUUAAGAUUCAGUUAUACAUGGUUAUAACAUUGAAUCAACUCUAGCUCAAGUGCCAUCUUACAAUUGGGUAUAAAAAAGCCUUUUGUACUUGGUAUCUCUCUUUGCACAAUGUAACUUUUUUUUUUCUUUGUGGG